CAGCAGCCACGGUAAUACAGAGGGUGCGAGCGUUAAUCGGAUUUACUGGGCGUAAAGCGUGCGUAGGCGGCUUCUUAAGUCGGAUGUGAAAUCCCUGAGCUUAACUUAGGAAUUGCAUUCGAUACUGGGAAGCUAGAGUAUAGGAGAGGAUGGUAGAAUUCCAGGUGUAGCGGUGAAAUGCGUAGAGAUCUGGAGGAAUACCGAUGGCGAAGGCAGCCAUCUGGCCUAAUACUGACGCUGAGGUACGAAAGCAUGGGGAGCAAACAGGAUUAGAUACCCGCGUAGUCCCUGUCUCUUAUAC
RNAcentral lists this ribosomal RNA (301 nucleotides) under uncultured bacterium. RNAcentral describes it as "partial 16S ribosomal RNA". It matches the Rfam family "Bacterial small subunit ribosomal RNA", at positions 509 to 807 of the family's 1533-position model. The record is from RNAcentral.